UCACUCAUCAUAUGUUCCUACAAUCAUGACAGUUUUAUUCACUUUAUCGCUACAAUAAUAAUUUCAAAAUUUAGUUGUGCAGUGACAUAUGAAACAAAAUCAAGAUAAAUUCCAUAUUUCAAUAUAAAUAAUAAUACAAGAAGUAUAUGUGCAUCAUGAAAUUUGAAUAAAGUUUAAGUGUUCCGCUAAAUUUGUAUUAUUCUCUGAUGACGUCACACGAUUCGUCAAAAAUGAUCAGUCUAUCGAUGCCUGUUUUUAAUUUCGUUUUUAAAUUAAUUUGUUAACGAAUUUGAAAGUGCAAAUUUAUUUCAAAGAGAAUCUUUACUGCUAUCUUCUCUUUGACUCGUGCCAUGAAUGAAUCAUCAAAAUCAUUGUCAAGUUUUGCAUUGUGUUGCAACAAUUCUGCUGCUUUGCAGAAGCGUUGCACGUGUUGCUAUGUAACAAGCUCGUUUCUCGAUAAAUUUUCCGACGAGAGUCUACAGACGACCCUUUGCACAACGUAUUGCGUUACUCAGAUUACAUGUGGACCUGAUAAAUAAACCAUACAUUGCGCAUCAUCCUUGAAAACCCUUUUCAUCUACGAAUUUAGCAAAGAUUUAAUUACUCCAUAUUCCUCGUCGCUUGAUAUUCAGAAAUAAAUUUCGAAUAAUUAAUAUCGAAGAAGGACAGAGUUAUUGUGUUCUAUGAUCUGAUAUGUUUUUUAAAGAAAAAUCCGCAGAAUUCAGCAGAAUUUCCUCGUAUCAUCACGUUAGUUGGCACAACAACAAGCAUUCUAAGGGAAUUCUCGAUGGAAUGGAAAAGGAGUAUUCAUUCGUGAAAAUUUCGUAUCGAAGCACGAUCGAAGCAAGCGAUCGAUAAUCGACGAGAAUUCGAGGAGGAAACAAGUGAAUUUCCAUGGUAGGCCUUCUACUGUCACUUUGUCGCGAUCGAGCCGAUCUUCGACCUCAUUAAGGAUCACAUCCGACAGUAUUAUCGUCGGUGAGGCAUAAAUGAAGUGUACAUUAAGGUGAACGAGAAGAUAUUGAGUAAGUAUUCGAGGUAUAGUUCGAUCACUGAAUAAGAAAUAAGCGAUGUAUCGAACAAUUUAUUUAUAUUAUGCUCGAAUAACCAAAAAACAAAUAAUUUGAUUCUUUCUUCUUUUUAUUU
Apis dorsata (giant honeybee) is the source of this 1146-nucleotide long non-coding RNA. RefSeq lists it as uncharacterized. Lineage: Eukaryota; Metazoa; Arthropoda; Insecta; Hymenoptera; Apidae. The transcript is spliced from 4 exons. The record is from RefSeq and is a predicted model, not a curated record.